Molecule: ribosomal RNA, 253 nt
Filed under: uncultured bacterium
Lineage: Bacteria
Description: partial 16S ribosomal RNA
Rfam family: Bacterial small subunit ribosomal RNA
Source: RNAcentral
GACGAAGGGGGCUAGCGUUGUUCGGAAUUACUGGGCGUAAAGCGCGUGUAGGCGGUUGUUCAAGUCAGGUGUGAAAGCCUUGAGCUCAACUCCAGAACUGCCUUUGAUACUGGAGAGCUUGAGUCCGGGAGAGGUGAGUGGAACUCCGAGUGUAGAGGUGAAAUUCGUAGAUAUUCGGAAGAACACCAGUGGCGAAGGCGGCUCACUGGCCCGGUACUGACGCUGAUGUGCGAAAGCGUGGGGAGCAAACAGG